This 465-nucleotide ribosomal RNA is filed under the name uncultured bacterium. RNAcentral describes it as "partial 16S ribosomal RNA". It matches the Rfam family "Bacterial small subunit ribosomal RNA", at positions 338 to 795 of the family's 1533-position model. The record is from RNAcentral.
CCUACGGGAGGCAGCAGUGGGGAAUAUUGCGCAAUGGGCGAAAGCCUGACGCAGCGACGCCGCGGGAGGGAUGAAGGUCUUCGGAUCGUAAACCUCUGUCAGCAGGGAAGAACGGUCACUGUGCUAAUCAGCAGUGAAUUGACGGUACCUGCAAAGGAAGCACCGGCUAACUCCGUGCCAGCAGCCGCGGUAAUACGGAGGGUGCGAGCGUUAAUCGGAAUUACUGGGCGUAAAGCGCUCGUAGGCGGUAUGUCAAGUCAAGGGUGAAAUCCCCGCGCUCAACGUGGGAACUGACUUUGAAUCUGGCAAACUGGAGUGUGUGAGUGGAUAGUGGAAUUCCAGGUGUAGGAGUGAAAUCCGUAGAUAUCUGGAGGAACAUCAGUGGCGAAGGCAGCUUACUAAGCCAUAACUGACACUGAAGCACGAAAGCGUGGGGAUCAAACAGGAUUAGAUACCCGAGUAGUC